GAUGAACGCUGGCGGCGUGCCUAAUACAUGCAAGUCGAGCGAAUGGAUUAAGAGCUUGCUCUUAUGAAGUUAGCGGCGGACGGGUGAGUAACACGUGGGUAACCUGCCCAUAAGACUGGGAUAACUCCGGGAAACCGGGGCUAAUACCGGAUAACAUUUUGAACCGCAUGGUUCGAAAUUGAAAGGCGGCUUCGGCUGUCACUUAUGGAUGGACCCACGUCGCAUUAGCUAGUUGGUGAGGUAACGGCUCACCAAGGCAACGAUGCGUAGCCGACCUGCGAGGGUGGUCGGCCACACUGGGACUGAGACACGGCCCAGACUCCUACGGGAGGCAGCAGUAGGGAAUCGUCCGCAAUGGACGAAAGUCUGACGGAGCAACGCCGCGUGAGUGAUGAAGGCUCUCGGGUCGUAAAACUCUGUUGUUAGGGAAGAACAAGUGCUAGUUGAAUAAGCUGGCACCUUGACGAUACCUAACCAGAAAGCCACGGCUAACUACGUGCCAGCCGCCGCAGUAA
RNAcentral lists this ribosomal RNA (515 nucleotides) under uncultured bacterium. RNAcentral's name for it is "partial 16S ribosomal RNA". It matches the Rfam family "Bacterial small subunit ribosomal RNA", at positions 28 to 523 of the family's 1533-position model. The record is from RNAcentral.